GGCGAACGGGUGAGUAACAUGUGAGUAACCUGCCCUUGACUUUGGGAUAACUUCAGGAAACUGGGGCUAAUACCGGAUAGGAGCUCCUGCUGCAUGGUGGGGGUUGGAAAGUUUCGGCGGUUGGGGAUGGACUCGCGGCUUAUCAGCUUGUUGGUGGGGUAGUGGCUUACCAAGGCUUUGACGGGUAGCCGGCCUGAGAGGGUGACCGGCCACAUUGGGACUGAGAUACGGCCCAG
This 236-nucleotide ribosomal RNA is filed under the name uncultured Actinomycetales bacterium. RNAcentral's name for it is "partial 16S ribosomal RNA". It matches the Rfam family "Bacterial small subunit ribosomal RNA", at positions 97 to 334 of the family's 1533-position model. The record is from RNAcentral. Lineage: Bacteria; Bacillati; Actinomycetota; Actinomycetes; Actinomycetales.